This 934-nucleotide ribosomal RNA is filed under the name Venturia maculiformis. Its description in RNAcentral is "eukaryotic LSU rRNA". It matches the Rfam family "Eukaryotic large subunit ribosomal RNA", at positions 1 to 954 of the family's 3401-position model. The record is from RNAcentral. Lineage: Eukaryota; Fungi; Ascomycota; Dothideomycetes; Venturiales; Venturiaceae.
GUUGGCCUCGGAUCAGGUGGGGAUACCCGCUGAACUUAAGCAUAUCAAUAAGCGGAGGAAAAGAAACCAACAGGGAUUGCCUCAGUAACGGCGAGUGAAGCGGCAACAGCUCAAAUUUGAAAUCUGGCUCACGCCCGAGUUGUAAUUUGUAGAGGAUGUUUCGGGUGAAGCCACGGUCCAAGUCCCUUGGAACAGGACGUCAUAGAGGGUGAGAACCCCGUACCUGGCCGUCGGUGCCCCCCGCUGUGAAACUCCUUCGACGAGUCGAGUUGUUUGGGAAUGCAGCUCUAAAUUGGUGGUAAAUUCCAUCUAAAGCUAAAUACCGGCCAGAGACCGAUAGCGCACAAGUAGAGUGAUCGAAAGAUGAAAAGCACUUUGAAAAGAGAGUUAAAAAGUACGUGAAAUUGUUGAAAGGGAAGCGCUUGCGGCCAGACUUGCCCGCGGUUGCUCAGCCCGCCUUUUGGCGGGUGCACUCUUCCGCGGUCAGGCCAGCAUCGGUUUGGGCGGCCGGAUAAAGACGCCGGGAACGUGGCCUCCCCUCGGGGAGGUGUUAUAGCCCGGCGUGCAAUGCGACCAGCCCGGACCGAGGUUCGCGCUCUGCUAGGAUGCUGGCGUAAUGGCCGUAAGCGGCCCGUCUUGAAACACGGACCAAGGAGUCUAACAUCUAUGCGAGUGUUUGGGUGUCAAACCCGUGCGCGUAAUGAAAGUGAACGGAGGUGGGAACCCGCAAGGGCGCACCAUCGACCGAUCCUGAUGUCUUCGGAAGGAUUUGAGUAAGAGCAUAGCUGUUGGGACCCGAAAGAUGGUGAACUAUGCGUGAAUAGGGUGAAGCCAGAGGAAACUCUGGUGGAGGCUCGCAGCGGUUCUGACGUGCAAAUCGAUCGUCAAAUUUGCGUAUAGGGGCGAAAGACUAAUCGAACCAUUUAGUAGCUGG